This 253-nucleotide ribosomal RNA is filed under the name uncultured bacterium. RNAcentral's name for it is "partial 16S ribosomal RNA". It matches the Rfam family "Bacterial small subunit ribosomal RNA", at positions 524 to 776 of the family's 1533-position model. The record is from RNAcentral.
UACGAAGGAUGCAAGCGUUAUCCGGAUUCAUUGGGUUUAAAGGGAGCGUAGGCGGACUUAUAAGUCAGUGGUGAAAUCUCGCAGCUUAACUGCGAAACUGCCAUUGAUACUGUAGGUCUAGAGUACAGUUGCCGUUGGCGGAAUAUGACAUGUAGUGGUGAAAUACUUAGAUAUGUCAUAGAACACCGAUUGCGAAGGCAGCUAACGAAGCUGUAACUGACGCUGAGGCUCGAAAGUGCGGGGAUCAGACAGG